CUUUAAAGCAGAGCAUUUUCUCUGUGGCUGGUAGAAGAGGAAGUAAGAGAUUGAAUGGGUGAGAGGGAUUCAAUGGGAAUAGAGAACAGAGGUUCUCAUUGCUGAGAUGGCAGGGGUCAUAGGGCAAAGACCAGAGAAGCCACUAGGAGCUAAGAACAGGCCCGACCAGCAGUCAGAAAGGAAACAGGGAUCUCAGGCCUGCGGCUGCAAGGAACUGAACACUGCCAACCACCUGAUCCUCUGCAGGACCGAGGCUGUGUGGACGGAGGCUGUGUGGAUGGAGAUCCCACCAUCACCGAGUUCGGGCAAGUCCCAUGAGGGUCUCAGCUCCUCAUCCGUAACAUCAGGAUGAUAAAGCCUCCCUCGCAGGAUGGCCGUGCGAGUGCCCAGAUCCCAGGAGAGGGCUGGUAAAUGGGCGUUGCCUGCCCCAUCCCUUUCUACCUGCACGGAAAAGGAGAGAUGGCCCAGCCUCAGGUCAUCAGGACCCUUGAGCCAACCCUGCAUCUCAGCCCUGACUCCCACCCAGAAUGCCGGCCUUCCUCACCAAGGGUCUGGCUGACACCUCUGCGAUGCUCAUCACUAGUCACUUGGGAUUCCCUGGUGAUAUGGUUUGGCUGUGUCCCCACCCAACUCUCAUCUUGAAUUGUAGUUCCCAUAAUCCCCACAUGUCAUGGGAGGGACGGGGUGGAGAUAAUUCAAUCAUGGAGCGGUUUCCUCUGUCCUGUUCUCAUGAUAGUGAGCUAGUUCUCACGAGAUCUGAUUGUUUUAUAAAGGGCUUCUUUCUUCGCUGGGCACUCAUUCUCUCUCCUGCCAUCAUGUGAAGAGGGUCUUUGCUUCCCCUUUACUUUCCAUCAUGAUUGUAAGUUUCCUGAGGUCUCCCCAGCCAUGCGGAACUGUGAGUCAAUUAAACCUCUUUCCUUUAUAAAUUACCCAGUCUUGGGUAUUCCUUCAUAGAAGCAUGAGAAUAGACUAGUACACCUGGGGAGCAAGGCCUAGGGUGAAAAGUGAAGCUCAGAGCAGUUACCCUCC
RNAcentral lists this long non-coding RNA (1029 nucleotides) under Homo sapiens (human). Its description in RNAcentral is "HSALNT0214990". The record is from RNAcentral. Lineage: Eukaryota; Metazoa; Chordata; Mammalia; Primates; Hominidae.